Molecule: long non-coding RNA, 728 nt
Organism: Eutrema salsugineum
Lineage: Eukaryota; Viridiplantae; Streptophyta; Magnoliopsida; Brassicales; Brassicaceae
Exons: 4
Source: RefSeq, a predicted model, not a curated record
UGCUCCCGCUGAAGCUAGUCAAGAAGAAGUUCCCCUUGAAACCAAAUUGACUAUUAUUUGAGUGUUGAGAAUUUAUCUAAGGAUGAGUUUCUGCGCAAACGCAUGAAUGAUGAAGGCUUUGUUCAUAUACAAUUUAUUGCAAGUUUCAAUAAGCUUAAAGCUUUGAUAGAUAAUAUUCAUUUUAUAUUGGAAGCUCUUCAACGGUCACAUAUUGUUGAAUUGAAGGGGUAUGAAAUACGAAAUCGGCAUAUGUGGAGAAGGUUCUUAAUGCGGCUAACUUGCGGGUUCAUUUUUAUCCAAGUCCAGAAUAUGAACAAUAACAGAAAUUCAAGGUGAGUAAGUUUGCUUCAGUAGAAAGCAGAUUGGUGCUACUUUUAUGUGAAGUAGCCCCAGUUGCAUUGGAUUAUACCAAUUUGUCCUAGAAAUAAGAAGAACAAAAAAAAAACGUUAAUAAUCUAAAUAAAAAAAUAGAAUACGAGAAAAUUAAGUGCUUAGUUUUUUCUUAUUCGUUUUGUUUCUUAACUUAAACUGUCAUUAUCACUUGAUACGUGUAUUUUUUAUUUUACGCAUUCAGAUCUUGCUCCUUGGCAAUUAGAUUAAGUGAAAAUUCAUCAGACUAGCCUUUAAGGUUGAUGAAUUGACAAACUUAGCCUAACAUAUUGAAGGGCUUACCAGACUAACCUUAUAAAUUUGGUCUUAUAUCAUUUUAUCCAAAUAUUGAAUAUUAU